RNAcentral lists this long non-coding RNA (413 nucleotides) under Olea europaea (common olive). RNAcentral's name for it is "long non-coding RNA (OEUR_LNC002091)". Lineage: Eukaryota; Viridiplantae; Streptophyta; Magnoliopsida; Lamiales; Oleaceae. The record is from RNAcentral.
UCUUAUCUUCUCUAACCUCUAUUUUUCUCUUUUCGAUGAUAAUCAUAAAGUUUAGGGACAGUUCCUUACUUAUAAGAUAAAUUAGGGUAAAAUCGAAUUAUACAAGACUUCAAGUCCUUAAUAGAAUUAGGAUCGACAACAAUUAGCUAGGCAUUACAACUUAACAAGGGAUCUAACAUGACCCGUCUUGAAUCACCCUAAUGGACCCGACACGUGCCAUGUGCCAAUGGUAGAUACUGGUUAAGUGCCAGACCCAUCAUUAAGGUAACAUUGAUCUACUUUGACUGUGACAAAUUUUUAAAAGAAUUUUAACACAGUUUCCUUUGAAAUAUAGAUUAAAACUAUCUGAUCAACAAUCAUUUUUCUCAAAUCAAUAUAUGUAAUAUAAAACAGGAUAUGCCAACCCCUCAAAU